RNAcentral lists this long non-coding RNA (1754 nucleotides) under Gallus gallus (chicken). RNAcentral describes it as "lncRNA (ENSGALG00010028790.1)". The record is from RNAcentral. Lineage: Eukaryota; Metazoa; Chordata; Aves; Galliformes; Phasianidae.
UGAACCCCUCAGUUAGCAAGAUCCUCGCUCCCUCCAGCUUGGACUACAUUACCAACAAACACCAUGUGCCCCAACGUGUGUUGCUCCAGUGGAUGCUGCUCUGUUGUGAAGAGCAAGACAGUGUGCUGCAGCCCCUGUCAGAAGACAGUCUGCUGUGACCCGUGUCAGAAGACUGUCUGCUGUGAGAAGACUGUCUGCUGUGACCCGUGCCAGAAGCCUUGCUGUGACCCAUGCCAGACUUGCUGUGACCCGUGCCAGAAGCCUUGCUGUGACCCAUGCCAGACUUGCUGUGACCCGUGCCAAAAGCCAUGCUGUGACCCGUGCCAGACUUGCUGUGACCCAUGCCAGAAGCCCUGCUGUGAUCCAUGCCAGCAGUCUGUCUGCUGUGACCCGUGCCAGAAGCCUUGCUGUGACCCAUGCCAGACUUGCUGUGACCCAUGCCAGAAGCCUUGCUGUGACCCGUGCCAGACUUGCUGUGACCCGUGCCAGAAGACCGUCUGCUGUGACCCGUGCCAGACUUGCUGUGACCCGUGCCAGAAGACCGUCUGCUGUGACCCAUGCCAGAAGCCUUGCUGUGACCCAUGCCAGACUUGCUGUGACCCAUGCCAGAAGCCUUGCUGUGACCCGUGCCAGACUUGCUGUGACCCGUGCCAGAAGCCUUGCUGUGACCCGUGCCAGACUUGCUGUGAUCCAUGCCAGAAGCCAUGCUGUGACCCCUGCCAGACUUGCUGUGACCCGUGCCAAAAGCCAUGCUGUGACCCAUGCCAGACUUGCUGUGACCCGUGUCAGAAGACUGUCUGCUGUGACCCAUGCCAGAAGCCUUGCUGUGACCCGUGCCAGACUUGCUGUGACCCGUGCCAGAAGACUGUCUGCUGUGACCCGUGCCAGAAGCCUUGCUGUGACCCGUGCCAGACUUGCUGUGACCCGUGCCAGACUUGCUGUGACCCGUGCCAGAAGACCGUCUGCUGUGACCCAUGCCAGAAGACCGUCUGCUGUGACCCGUGCCAGAAGCCUUGCUGUGAUCCAUGCCAGACUUGCUGUGACCCAUGCCAGAAGCCAUGCUGUGACCCGUGCCAGACUUGCUGUGACCCGUGCCAGAAGCCCUGCUGCAGCUGCUGUAGCCAGCAGUGCCUGCAGACCUGCUGCCGCCCCUGCUGCUGCUCUGGCCGUCUGUCCUGCUGCUCCUACGUGGUGAAGAAGAAGCCCGUUGUGGUGUGUUGCAGCCCCGUGCAGUACUGCUCCCCGCUGAGGAAGUGCUGCGUACCCAUCAGGCAGUGCUGCACCACCGUCAAGAAGUGCUGCUGAACCUGCCCUGCAUAGGAGAAACAGGCACAAGGGGAUGGAGACCUGACCUUCCUUCUGUUUCACACGAUGAUGGAGUGCAUGCCUACUGAUUUUCUUCUGGUUUCCAAAUUGAAGCUGUCAUCUUCCUUCUUUCACACUGUCUUUUAAUUAUCAAAGAUCUGCAAUGCACUUGGAUAUGUCACCCAUUGUACGAGGCAUGGAGAUCUUACAUAUUCAUUCUCUUCUUGGUGUAUGGGACAUGGGAAACAUUUGCUAUUAGUGCAGUCAUUCUGUAUUUUCUCUCUUGACUUGUAGACAAUAAAACUUGGCAUUAAGCAAAACACAAAAUAUCUUGUUGCUUGGUUGUUCUUACCUCGUAUUGCCUUGAACGUGUCCUUGUCCUGGUGCCAUGUUCCAAGUCAUCAUCAGCCUCCUGAGGGCCAACAUGUGCUUCCAUUGCAAGGCAGAAC